GUGCAGGCGCAGCUACCAUGCAGUCGAGCGGUAACAGAUCCAGCUUGCUGGAUGCUGACGAGCGGCGGACGGGUGAGUAAUGCAUAGGAAUCUGCCCGAUAGUGGGGGAUAACCUGGGGAAACCCAGGCUAAUACCGCAUACGUCCUACGGGAGAAAGGGGGCUUCGGCUCCCGCUAUCGGAUGAGCCUAUGUCGGAUUAGCUAGUUGGUGAGGUAACGGCUCACCAAGGCCACGAUCCGUAGCUGGUCUGAGAGGAUGAUCAGCCACAUCGGGACUGAGACACGGCCCGAACUCCUACGGGAGGCAGCAGUGGGGAAUAUUGGACAAUGGGGGGAACCCUGAUCCAGCCAUGCCGCGUGUGUGAAGAAGGCCCUCGGGUUGUAAAGCACUUUCAGCGAGGAAGAACGCCUAGCGGUUAAUACCCGCUAGGAAAGACAUCACUCGCAGAAGAAGCACCGGCUAACUCCGUGCCAGCAGCCGCGGUAAUACGGAGGGUGCAAGCGUUAAUCGGAAUUACUGGGCGUAAAGCGCGCGUAGGUGGCUUGAUAAGCCGGUUGUGAAAGCCCCGGGCUCAACCUGGGAACGGCAUCCGGAACUGUCAAGCUAGAGUGCAGGAGAGGAAGGUAGAAUUCCCGGUGUAGCGGUGAAAUGCGUAGAGAUCGGGAGGAAUACCAGUGGCGAAGGCGGCCUUCUGGACUGACACUGACACUGAGGUGCGAAAGCGUGGGUAGCAAACAGGAUUAGUCCUCG
This 751-nucleotide ribosomal RNA is filed under the name Halomonas sp. Its description in RNAcentral is "bacterial SSU rRNA". It matches the Rfam family "Bacterial small subunit ribosomal RNA", at positions 39 to 790 of the family's 1533-position model. Lineage: Bacteria; Pseudomonadati; Pseudomonadota; Gammaproteobacteria; Oceanospirillales; Halomonadaceae. The record is from RNAcentral.